GAUGAACGCUGACAGAAUGCUUAACACAUGCAAGUCUUUGGCGAAGCUGUGCUUGCACAGCCUAGCCAAGGCGGACGGGUGAGUAACGCGUAAGGAACUUGCCCUGCAGUCAGGGAUAACAGACGGAAACGACUGAUAAGACCUGGUAAAGCCAGGCGGACUCAUGUCCAGCCUGAUGAAAAGAGAUGCUGCAGGAGAGCCUUGCGUCCUAUUAGCUUGUUGGUGGGGUAACGGCCCACCAAGGCGAUGAUAGGUAGCCGGCCUGAGAGGGUGGACGGCCACAAGGGGACUGAGAUACGGCCCUUACUCCUACGGGAGGCAGCAGUGGGGAAUAUUGGACAAUGGGGGCAACCCUGAUCCAGCAAUUCUGUGUGCACGAUGAAGGUUUUCGGAUUGUAAAGUGCUUUCAGCAGGGAAGAAAAAAUGACGGUACCUGCAGAAGAAGCGACGGCUAAAUACGUG
This 462-nucleotide ribosomal RNA is filed under the name uncultured bacterium. RNAcentral describes it as "partial 16S ribosomal RNA". It matches the Rfam family "Bacterial small subunit ribosomal RNA", at positions 28 to 507 of the family's 1533-position model. The record is from RNAcentral.